RNAcentral lists this ribosomal RNA (305 nucleotides) under uncultured bacterium. RNAcentral describes it as "bacterial SSU rRNA". It matches the Rfam family "Bacterial small subunit ribosomal RNA", at positions 333 to 636 of the family's 1533-position model. The record is from RNAcentral.
UCUUGCCUACGGGGCGCAGCAGUGAGGAAUAUUGGUCAAUGGUCGGGAGACUGAACCAGCCAAGCCGCGUGAGGGAGGAAGGUACAGAGUAUCGUAAACCUCUUUUGUCAGGGAACAAAGACUGGGACGCGUCCCCGGAUGAGUGUACCUGAAGAAAAAGCAUCGGCUAACUCCGUGCCAGCAGCCGCGGUAAUACGGAGGAUGCGAGCGUUAUCCGGAUUUAUUGGGUUUAAAGGGUGCGCAGGCGGUCUGUUAAGUCAGCGGUCAAAGCCCGGGGCUCAACCCCGGCCCGCCGUUGAAACUGG